RNAcentral lists this unclassified non-coding RNA (160 nucleotides) under Oryza sativa (Asian cultivated rice). RNAcentral describes it as "partial microRNA MIR446o precursor". Lineage: Eukaryota; Viridiplantae; Streptophyta; Magnoliopsida; Poales; Poaceae. The record is from RNAcentral.
AUAACUAAUUACAUAGAUUGUGACUAAUUUGCGAGAUUAAUAUUUUAAGCCUAAUUGCUCCAUGAUUUGACAAUGUGGUGUUACAGUAAUAUGCUAAUGACAGAUUAAUUAGGCUUAAUAAAUUCAUCUCGCGGUUUACUGGCUGAUUCUGUAAUUAGUU